Molecule: ribosomal RNA, 433 nt
Filed under: uncultured bacterium
Lineage: Bacteria
Description: bacterial SSU rRNA
Rfam family: Bacterial small subunit ribosomal RNA
Source: RNAcentral
AGCGAACGCUGGCGGCAGGCCUAACACAUGCAAGUCGAACGAACCCUUCGGGGUUAGUGGCGGACGGGUGAGUAACACGUGGGAACGUACCUUUAGGUUCGGAACAACACAGGGAAACUUGUGCUAAUGCCGAAUGUGCCCUUCGGGGAAAGGAUUUAUCGCCUUUAGAGCGGCCCGCGUCUGAUUAGCUUGUUGGUGAGGUAAAGGCUCACCAAGGCUACGAUCAGUAGCUGGUCUGAGAGGAUGAUCAGCCACACUGGGACUGAGACACGGCCCAGACUCCUACGGGAGGCAGCAGUGGGGAAUCUUGCGCAAUGGGCGAAAGCCUGACGCAGCCAUGCCGCGUGAAUGAUGAAGGUCUUAGGAUUGUAAAAUUCUUUCACCGGGGAAGAUAAUGACGGUACCCGGAGAAGAAGCCCCGGCUAACUUCGUG